Long non-coding RNA from Zalophus californianus (California sea lion), 640 nucleotides. RefSeq lists it as uncharacterized. The record is from RefSeq and is a predicted model, not a curated record. The transcript has 3 exons. Lineage: Eukaryota; Metazoa; Chordata; Mammalia; Carnivora; Otariidae.
UGAUGAUGUGAACAAGGGAUCAAAUCAACGUGAACUUUGAAAUCUUUGUAAAAGAAGUUAGAGUUCAUCCUCAAGGCAAUAAGGAGUAGAGAGGUAAACUGUUAUCCUAACGUCCUAUUAUGCGUUUCCAGCAAUGAUCUGGCUUUUGGUGAGACACUCUCUCUACCUGCCUGGGCUUUAUCUUCUGGGCAGCUUCUCCAUGCUGCAUGUAUCUCUUCCCCAAGUAGAGGAAGACAACUCCAAGAAGUCUGGAGUCUGGCCAUCUAGGAAGUAUGCUUUAUCCUUGGAAAACCACUACAUUUCUCCAAACUGAUGCUACUGCUCUGACAUCUGGCUGGACCUUUUCCCGUGCUGUGUCAUCUGCAUGCCAUGACCUUUCCUUUGGUCCCACUCCUUUCGCCUGCCUGGAAUACACUUUUUCAUCUUUCCUAACUGAACAAAGACAACAUGUCAUGUAAUAGCUCAGCCUGGUACAUCAACUUCCUCCUCUGGGCAACCUGUGAAUCGGUACAGAAAAUUGUACAGCCUUUAUCAUGUCAUCUCAGUCUCUUUGGCUAGACUUUGCAACUUCCUUCUUCCUCUUCCCUGUAUCCUUAGCACCUACCCACCAGCUAUCACAGAGCAUGCCUUAAAUAAAACU